Molecule: ribosomal RNA, 118 nt
Filed under: Propithecus coquereli (Coquerel's sifaka)
Lineage: Eukaryota; Metazoa; Chordata; Mammalia; Primates; Indriidae
Source: RNAcentral
GUCUACGGCCACACCACCCUGACUCCGCCGAUCCCGUCUGACCUCGGAAGCUAAGCAGGGUCGGGCCCGGUCAGUACCCGGAUGGGAGACCGCCCGGGAACCCCGGGUGCCGUAGGCU